This 301-nucleotide ribosomal RNA is filed under the name uncultured bacterium. RNAcentral describes it as "partial 16S ribosomal RNA". It matches the Rfam family "Bacterial small subunit ribosomal RNA", at positions 509 to 807 of the family's 1533-position model. The record is from RNAcentral.
CAGCAGCCGCGGGAAUACGGAGGGUGCAAGCGUUAUCCGGAUUCACUGGGUUUAAAGGGUGCGUAGGCGGGCAGGUAAGUCAGUGGUGAAAUCUUCGAGCUUAACUCGGAAACUGCCGUUGAUACUAUCUGUCUUGAAUAACGUUGAGGUGAGCGGAAUAUGUCAUGUAGCGGUGAAAUGCUUAGAUAUGACAUAGAACACCGAUUGCGAAGGCAGCUCACUAAACGCUCAUUGACGCUGAGGCACGAAAGCGUGGGGAUCAAACAGGAUUAGAUACCCCUGUAGUCCCUGUCUCUUAUAC